RNAcentral lists this non-coding RNA (27 nucleotides) under Mus musculus (house mouse). The record is from RNAcentral. Lineage: Eukaryota; Metazoa; Chordata; Mammalia; Rodentia; Muridae.
UGGUGCUCAUUUUCCCACUCUGGGUGA